Non-coding RNA from Pantherophis guttatus, 491 nucleotides. The record is from RefSeq and is a predicted model, not a curated record. NCBI's taxonomy places the organism in Eukaryota, Metazoa, Chordata, Lepidosauria, Squamata, Colubridae.
AGCUGCAGUGGGCUGCUUUGGGUCAACGAGGGACGAUGUUUGGUGGCCAGAAGCUCCAUGGUUGGAAGGAGAGACCGAGCAGGGACGAUUCUGGCUGCACAGAAGGUGCCAAGUUGUUCUGAUAUGGGGAUCCCAAUGGGUCCUUCGUUUGGUAUAAAGACCGAGGUGCCACUUUAGUCAAGGGUUUAUAAUAUAUUUAUAGCAGUUUGGCUUCCUUUUCUAAGCUGAAGAUCCAUGUGUAAAAGAAAAGGAAUUUGCCAUGACUUUCAGAGGGGUGAAACUGUGGGCGAAGUCCAGGCUCUUACCACUGAAUCCCUCCUGGCAGGUGCAAAUGUAGCUGCUCGUCAUAUCCUUGCAGGUUCCACCAUUCAUACAAGGGCUCGACUCACAUUCGUUGUUGUUGAUGUCACAGUUCGUCCCACUCCAGCCCGCGUCACAAUCGCACUUGUAGCUGUGAUUCCAGGAGAGAGAAAUUACAAAGCAUAAAGUGA